AGUGAACGCUGGCGGUAGGCCUAACACAUGCAAGUCGAACGGCAGCACAGUAAGAGCUUGCUCUUACGGGUGGCGAGUGGCGGACGGGUGAGGAAUACAUCGGAAUCUACUUUUUCGUGGGGGAUAACGUAGGGAAACUUACGCUAAUACCGCAUACGACCUACGGGUGAAAGCAGGGGAUCUUCGGACCUUGCGCGAUUGAAUGAGCCGAUGUCGGAUUAGCUAGUUGGCGGGGUAAGGCCCACCAAGGCGACGAUCCGUAGCUGGUCUGAGAGGAUGGUCAGCCACACUGGAACUGAGACACGGUCCAGACUCCUACGGGAGGCAGCAGUGGGGAAUAUUGGACAAUGGGCGCAAGCCUGAUCCAGCAAUACCGCGUGGGUGAAGAAGGCCUUCGGGUUGUAAAGCCCUUUUGUUGGGAAAGAAAAGCAGCAGGUUAAUACCCCGCUGUUCUGACGGUACCCAAAGAAUAAGCACCGGCUAACUUCGUG
Molecule: ribosomal RNA, 491 nt
Filed under: uncultured bacterium
Lineage: Bacteria
Description: partial 16S ribosomal RNA
Rfam family: Bacterial small subunit ribosomal RNA
Source: RNAcentral